GAUGAACGCUGGCGGCGUGCCUAAUACAUGCAAGUCGAACGCAUUGUGGUUGAAAUGAUAUGAAGAACUUGUUCAGAUUUGAUUUUCAACAUUGCAAUGAGUGGCGAACGGGUGAGUAACACGUGGGAAACCUACCUCUUAGCAGGGGAUAACAUUUGGAAACAAAUGCUAAUACCGUAUAAUAAUUAAAACCGCAUGGUUUUAGUUUAAAAGAUGGUCUUGCUAUCACUAAGAGAUGGUCCCGCGGUGUAUUAGUUAGUUGGUGAGGUAAUGGCUCACCAAGACAAUGAUACAUAGCCGAGUUGAGAGACUGACCGGCCACAAUGGGACUGAGACACGGCCCAUACUCCUACGGGAGGCAGCAGUAGGGAAUCUUCCACAAUGGACGAAAGUACUGAUGGAGCAACGCCGCGUGUGUGAUGAAGGGUUUCGCUCGUAAAACACUGUUGUAAGAGAAGAAUGACAUUGAGAGUAACUGUUCAAUGUGUGACGGUAUCUU
This 499-nucleotide ribosomal RNA is filed under the name uncultured bacterium. RNAcentral describes it as "bacterial SSU rRNA". It matches the Rfam family "Bacterial small subunit ribosomal RNA", at positions 28 to 481 of the family's 1533-position model. The record is from RNAcentral.